GGGGAAUAUUGCACAAUGGGCGCAAGCCUGAUGCAGCCAUGCCGCGUGUAUGAAGAAGGCCUUCGGGUUGUAAAGUACUUUCAGCGAGGAGGAAGGCAUUAAGGUUAAUAACCUUAGUGAUUGACGUUACUCGCAGAAGAAGCACCGGCUAACUCCGUGCCAGCAGCCGCGGUAAUACGGAGGGUGCAAGCGUUAAUCGGAAUUACUGGGCGUAAAGCGCACGCAGGCGGUCUGUCAAGUCGGAUGUGAAAUCCCCGGGCUCAACCUGGGAACUGCAUUCGAAACUGGCAGGCUAGAGUCUUGUAGAGGGGGGUAGAAUUCCAGGUGUAGCGGUGAAAUGCGUAGAGAUCUGGAGGAAUACCGGUGGCGAAGGCGGCCCCCUGGACAAAGACUGACGCUCAGGUGCGAAAGCGUGGGGAGCAAAC
This 425-nucleotide ribosomal RNA is filed under the name uncultured bacterium. RNAcentral's name for it is "bacterial SSU rRNA". It matches the Rfam family "Bacterial small subunit ribosomal RNA", at positions 356 to 773 of the family's 1533-position model. The record is from RNAcentral.